This is a long non-coding RNA of Terrapene triunguis (Three-toed box turtle), 231 nucleotides long. RefSeq lists it as uncharacterized. The record is from RefSeq and is a predicted model, not a curated record. Lineage: Eukaryota; Metazoa; Chordata; Testudines; Emydidae. The transcript has 3 exons.
AUAAUGCAGCAACUGCUCCACCUUCACCCCGCCUGUCUUGAGUCGGCUGAAGCAGCGGUUCUCAAGCCUUACGCAGUUUGCUGAUGACCACUCCGAAUUGAGCGGAGAUUCAGACGGAGGCGGGUACUGGACAACCUACGGGCUGAAGAACCAUUUGCCCAUGAAACCUGCUCUAUUGAUGUUUUAUUCCCUGUGCUCUGAAGCCCUAGAGGCAACAAGAAUGUUUGGAAG